UUCCAGACUCCUACGGGAGGCAGCAGUGGGGAAUAUUGCACAAUGGGGGAAACCCUGAUGCAGCGACGCCGCGUGAGUGAAGAAGUACUUCGUUAUGUAAAGCUCUAUCAGCAGGGAAGAAAAUGACGGUACCUGAGUAAGAAGCCCCGGCUAACUACGUGCCAGCAGCCGCGGUAAUACGUAGGGGGCAAGCGUUAUCCGGAUUUACUGGGUGUAAAGGGAGCGUAGACGGCAGUGCAAGUCUGGAGUGAAAGGCGGGGGCUCAACCGCGGAACUGCUUUGGAAACUGUAUAGCUUGAGUACUGGAGAGGCAGGCGGAAUUCCUAGUGUAGCGGUGAAAUGCGUAGAUAUUAGGAGGAACACCAGUGGCGAAGGCGGCCUGCUGGACAGAAACUGACGUUGAGGCUCGAAAGCGUGGGGAGCAAACAGGAUUAGAUACCCGGGUA
RNAcentral lists this ribosomal RNA (446 nucleotides) under uncultured bacterium. RNAcentral's name for it is "bacterial SSU rRNA". It matches the Rfam family "Bacterial small subunit ribosomal RNA", at positions 329 to 792 of the family's 1533-position model. The record is from RNAcentral.